Hydra vulgaris (swiftwater hydra) is the source of this 1135-nucleotide non-coding RNA. The record is from RefSeq and is a predicted model, not a curated record. Lineage: Eukaryota; Metazoa; Cnidaria; Hydrozoa; Anthoathecata; Hydridae.
UAUUAGGAUUUUGAAAUUAUUCUUUGAGUAGGAAACUUUUGAGAUGAUAUGAAAUAAUAGCAUGAGUUUCUUGACGAUUUAGAUUUUUAAUAAAAUCCAGUGUUGUUUUAUAUUAUUUUUAUCUAUUGGAAGUUAUUGGUUCCUUAUUCUGUUUAAAUCCAGCAUACCACUUUUUGCAUUAACUUUUAUGAAUACUAUACUGUAUUACUGAGACGGUGGGCUAACCUAAGUUAAUGAAUUGAACUGUUGUCUCCAUAAAAAAUCUGUUCGUCCGAUAUAUGGAAAUUAAGAAGAUUGGACUAAAACAAAGUAUUAUUCCAUAUUACUUCGAUUAAGUUCUAUCUCCUUUUUUUUUGUAUAAACAUUGUUGUAACAUAAAUAUAAAGAACAAAACCAAUUUAUAGUGUUAAUAUCUUUGUAAUACUAGUUAUUUCUAAUAAUACUAGUUUGCUGAAUACACAUACAAAAUAUUGGGUGAAAAACUAACAAAUUUAGGCAUUUUGUUAUUAUAUGGGUUGUGAAAUAAGUACAAAUAUGUAUAUUCAAUCUUUCCACAAGGUUUUAAAGUACAGUUACAUACAAGGUAAGCAUAAUAAAAUAAUUGACAAUUGCUUGUUUCCAUUGUUAAAGUUUAAUAGAGACAAAGUAAAUGAAAGAAUAAUAAAAUUAACAUGAUGGAAGAUAAGCUUUAAAGUGAAAAUGGUGUAUUCUAGGCACAUUGAAAGCGUACAACUGUGUGAAAAGUUUGCCUUGCUAAAUGAGCCAGGUUAGUACAGCCAGAGUCAAAGGUUAUCAAUACAGAAUUGUAAAACAUCAUGAAUCGUAAAAUCUUUUUGUUUCAGUUUGUCUUUAGUCUUUUUAAAUAUUUUAAGCAGGGUUUUUUUUUAGAGCAAGAAUUAUACUAUCAAUGCAGUAGAGCGGUUGGAAAAGAUUGAGUUUCUUUUUUAGUUACUUCAACUACUUGUUAUUUUUUGUUAUUAGAAAGGUUAAUAAAAGUUAACGUUUUUAGACAGUCGAAGAUUCUGAUUUGAGAAUAGAAAAAGUCUAAAAAAUUCUGCUGGAUGUUGUCAAAAGAAUGUUAUGUUAUGCUUCUUUCUAAGCAGUCAUUUUGGUUUGCCUACUGUUGAAAUAUGGU